RNAcentral lists this ribosomal RNA (197 nucleotides) under uncultured bacterium. Its description in RNAcentral is "partial 16S ribosomal RNA". It matches the Rfam family "Bacterial small subunit ribosomal RNA", at positions 328 to 539 of the family's 1533-position model. The record is from RNAcentral.
ACGCUCGACACCUACGGGGGCAGCAGUGGGGAAUAUUGCACAAUGGGGGAAACCCUGAUGCAGCGACGCCGCGUGAGCGAAGAAGUAUUUCGGUAUGUAAAGCUCUAUCAGCAGGGAAGAAAUUGACGGUACCUGACUAAGAAGCACCGGCUAAAUACGUGCCAGCAGCCGCGGUAAUCUGAGCGGGCUGGCAAGGC